UAGGCCCAACAAAUCUUUCCGACUGUCUGUUCCUCCUCCCACGCAUCCAGGAUCAAACGACAAACCCUAACCAUCCUCUCCAGCGCCACCAUCCUCCCAUUCCCCUGUCGCCUCUCUCUGCCGGCCGGCAGCUGCACCUCCAGCACCCCAUGCCACAGCCCCACCUCCAUCGCUCCGCCCAGAAACUCGUUGACAUCGACGAGAUCGACUUCCACGAGCACCUCCCCUUCGCCAGACAUCUCCCGGUGCAGUCGACCGUAGGGCGGGGCUGUAGAGGAAGAGGUCGUGCGACUCGAGCUUGCUGUGGCUUACGGAGAGGCGGUCGGUGGCGGUUUCGUGGUGCGAGAUGGUAGGGACUAGCGACCGGCGUGCAUCGGGGCCACGAUUCCGCGACCAGGUCAGAGCGCCGUAACAGCAACAGGCGGCGGCCAGGCCUGGGUGGCUUGGGGUGUGAUAAUCGCAUCUCGUGUCGCAGGGGUGGCCAAUUUUUUCCAACAGCGCACCGCACGUUCUGCUCUUGGUUUUGAAUCUGGAGGGGGAGAAGUCCGCACCCUGUUUGCCACACAUGUAAGGGAGAAUGUGAAAAUAAUUUAGUACUACUGGAAAUUCAGAUUCCCUUUUCACCUGUAUAUUUUAUUGUCAUGAACCAAGUUGCGUUCUCUGCCUGAUUGUUUUUAUUAGAAAUAUAAAUGUAAAGAUAUUUUUUCUCGAACACAUGCUAUUGUAAAGAUAUAUUUCAGUUUCAUUUUUAAGUAAUAGAGGUUUAUUUCAUUUAUUACUAGAUUUAUAUCUGAUCUUUGUGCAAUCCAUCUAGCUUAACCAUUGAAGGGGACUACUACAAUGGACGUGAUAAAGAUAUUUGCUUCCUCGAGGAACAGUAUAAUCUUUCCUAUUAUACCCUAUCAUUUCCAUGAUUACAUGUGGUUCCUUCUGUAUUUUUCAGGUUCCAUGUCCAAACAUUGAGUGGCAAUCAGAAUUUCGUGACCGACUAUGUUCAAAAUUGAAGGGGAUGCCAGCCGGAGUGAUCCUUGCAGUACAGACAAUCAUAAUAAAUGAAUUUUUUGUCCAACUAUUCUGUUUUAGGGCAUAUGGUGAAAUUUUCCUUACAUAGCAUUUCAGAGCCUAUUUGGAUAAGUGAGCGUGUCCAUUUAUAAUGCUCCUUCAUUAUGUAUGUGCUCAGUUCCCAUGGCCCGCAAUGCAACUUCUUAUUUGUAGCAGCAUCUAUAUAUUCAUGUUAUUUUCUAUUUCAUAGAUAAAUAAUGCUCACUACGUGCUCCACUUAAGUGAUGAGUAAGUGAAUAGAAAGUUAGGCUAUGGUGUUCUCACCUGAAUUUUUUUACUUUUUGUGAACUUCAUAAUCAGGAUCAGCAGCUAAUUAUGUCCACAUGCAUAGAACACUUUGUUUACCUGAAUAACUUUUGGUUUAUCAUUUGCAAAAAUUCUCAUCGGUGUUGACCCCUGCUUUGUCUAUUUUAGUCAUCAAGGAGGUAAUUAUAUGACUGCAGUUAGAAAUCACAUUGAUGCAGGAUAUAGCUAUGGUUAUCAAGGUCAAGGGUGAGGCGCUGUCAUCUUUCAAGCCAUCAGGUAGUCUUGUACUCGCAUAAAACUCAGAGCUUUUGUUUCCUUGGGAUCGGUACUAGAUGAUGGACUACUAUAUUGCUAUAUAUUUGGAUGAUGCAUGAAUCUUUUUAUAACAGAAAAAACAACGGGCCAAAGAACAUCAGUUCAUUCAAAUAGUAUAGGAAAUGUUUAUUGACGAUGAGAGUAUUUUUAUUAUUUCUCGCUCUCGUGGACAACAUAUGAGCCUGAUAUUUGUCACUUUGUGACACCAAAUUUUCUUGAACACAACCCUCCAUUAGCAUAUUCUGGUGGUUCUUAUUCUAACAGGAUAGAGUGUAGAGUGUAACACUUGCCCAUCUAACUACAUUUAGAAGAGGAGGCAUCCUUGCAGGCAAUGGAAAGGACAUCAACAUGAUUAUUUCUUCUCUAAAGAAUUUGCUACUGUAUAUAUUUUUGUGUUUGGUGAAUUCAGUACCUGCUGGUUUGUAGGAUAACAGUGGAUGAUACCUUAUUUUAUAUCGUUAUGUGAUACCUGGUAUGUAAUGCUACAUUUGAUCAAGACUGCAGCAACUCAUAUCUGUCGAAGCUUAUCAUUUUGCAUGACUACCCAUUUUUAGCUUGUAUCUUUUGUAUUCAAGAUUUCCACAUAGAAGAUGAGUAGAGGGUAUUGAGAUAUUCUGUCGUGAAAAUUGUCUCUCAAGAAAUCAAGGAAUUUGCUUGCAGGUAUGUACCUUAAUAAUAUUGUCGAGGGAUUGAUCUUUAGCUCUAAUCAGUAUCCCGGGUGAUUUUUUUUGUCGGAAGUAAACAUUUUUGCAACUUGUACAAAGCACAAUAUUACUCAUGUGUUAUCAGUCUAAUGUAAUGUUCUCCGCUAAGCGGACAGCUUGGGUGGUAGCAUGUGUGUAGUUUAUUCUUGCUUCAUGAUGUAUUAUAUAUGGGUAGGUGCAUGAUAAUGGAUUAGUUAAAUUCUAUUACUAUUCAUCAAUGGCUUGAUUAGUUCUUGGAGAACACAUAAAAUCUGACCAUACCUUACAUAUUUUUGUUUGGUUGUUUGAAGACGGUGAUUUUGGUUGAAAAUCAUCUCUUCAUGACCAGUGGGAACAUUUUUAGUGCAUAUCUCUAUUUUUGGUAUCUCCACUCUAUAAUAUCACAGAGAAUGACUCUUAUCAUUUUCGUUUUCAGUUGUGCCCAGAUGUUUCCCUUGGUGACAAUGCAUAUGUCAUGUUUCAAGCUUGCCUCUCGUGAGGCUUUUGGUCUGGAUCAGCGAAAUAGGUUUUAAGCUAUUGGACUUGGAAAGAUCAUAACACGAAGUUAGCUUCAAUAAUUUAUUUUUCUUGAUAUUUUAGAAGCAACACCAGUUCAUGUUGCUAAGGAGAAGGAUUUAAAAUAUGGACAAAAAGAGUUUUUUUAAACCAUUUUCUUCCAGUGAAUUUGAUGUAUGGGGCAUGUAACAUACAGUGGUAGCGAUUUUGAUGUAUCAGAGCAUGUAGCAAAGCAAUGCUAGGAUAUCAAGGAUUGGAGAAAGUGAGCUUUAAUUCAUUUUGUUUCGCUCUUCUGGUUGUAAGCUCAAUUUCUGCGAAUCUUCUUAAGUAAAUAAAGUUGUCUUCUUACUUUUGAGAGGCGAAGAAA
Lolium rigidum is the source of this 3189-nucleotide long non-coding RNA. RefSeq lists it as uncharacterized. The transcript has 4 exons. The record is from RefSeq and is a predicted model, not a curated record. Lineage: Eukaryota; Viridiplantae; Streptophyta; Magnoliopsida; Poales; Poaceae.